This 807-nucleotide ribosomal RNA is filed under the name uncultured bacterium. RNAcentral describes it as "bacterial SSU rRNA". It matches the Rfam family "Bacterial small subunit ribosomal RNA", at positions 8 to 796 of the family's 1533-position model. The record is from RNAcentral.
AGAGUUUGAUCCUGGCUCAGAACGAACGUUAGCGGCGNNNNUAACACAUGCAAGUCGCACGAGAAAGGGCUUCGGCCCCGGUACAGUGGCGCACGGGUGAGUAACACGUGGGUAAUCUGCCUUCGAGCGGGGGAUAACAUUCCGAAAGGAGUGCUAAUACCGCAUAAGACCACGCCUUCGAAAGAAGAAGCGGUCAAAGCUGGCCUCUAUACAUAAGCUAGCACUUGAAGAUGAGCCCGCGGAGCAUCAGCUAGUUGGUGAGGUAAUGGCUCACCAAGGCUUAGACGCUUAGCUGGUCUGAGAGGAUGAUCAGCCACCUGGAACUGAGACACGGUCCAGACUCCUACGGGAGGCAGCAGUGGGGAAUCUUGCGCAAUGGGCGAAAGCCUGACGCAGCGACGCCGCGUGAGUGAUGAAGGCCUUCGGGUUGUAAAGCUCUGUGGGGAGAGAAGAAUAAGUGCGGGCUAAUACUCCGCAUGAUGACGGUAUCUCCUUAGCAAGCACCGGCUAACUCUGUGCCAGCAGCCGCGGUAAGACAGAGGGUGCAAACGUUGUUCGGAAUUACUGGGCGUAAAGCGAGUGUAGGCGGUUUGGUAAGUCGGAUGUGAAAGCCCCGGGCUCAACCCGGGAAGUGCACUCGAUACUGCCAAGCUAGAGUAUCGGAGAGGUUGGUGGAAUUCUCGGUGUAGAGGUGAAAUUCGUAGAUAUCGAGAGGAACACCGGUGGCGAAGGCGGCCAACUGGACGAAUACUGACGCUGAGACUCGAAAGCGUGGGGAGCAAACAGGAUUAGAUACCCUAGUAGUCC